AUUGAACGCUGGCGGAAUGCUUUACACAUGCAAGUCGAACGGCAGCACGGACUUCGGUCUGGUGGCGAGUGGCGAACGGGUGAGUAAUGUAUCGGAACGUGCCCAGUCGUGGGGGAUAACGUAGUGAAAAUUACGCUAAUACCGCAUACGAUCUAUGGAUGAAAGCGGGGGAUCGCAAGACCUCGCGCGAUUGGAGCGGCCGAUAUCAGAUUAGGUAGUUGGUGGGGUAAAGGCGCACCAAGCCAACGAUCUGUAGCUGGUCUGAGAGGACGACCAGCCACACUGGAACUGAGACCCGGUCCAGACUCCUACGGGAGGCAGCAGUGGGGAAUUUUGGACAAUGGGCGAAAGCCUGAUCCAGCCAUUCCGCGUGCAGGAUGAAGGCCCUCGGGUUGUAAACUGCUUUUGUACAGAACGAAAAGGUUUCAACUAAUACUAGGAGCUCAUGACGGUACUGUAAGAAUAAGCACCGGCUAACUACGUGCCAGCCGCCGCCGUAA
Molecule: ribosomal RNA, 500 nt
Filed under: uncultured bacterium
Lineage: Bacteria
Description: partial 16S ribosomal RNA
Rfam family: Bacterial small subunit ribosomal RNA
Source: RNAcentral